RNAcentral lists this ribosomal RNA (468 nucleotides) under uncultured bacterium. Its description in RNAcentral is "partial 16S ribosomal RNA". It matches the Rfam family "Bacterial small subunit ribosomal RNA", at positions 28 to 507 of the family's 1533-position model. The record is from RNAcentral.
GACGAACGCUGGCGGCGUGCUUAACACAUGCAAGUCGAACGGAAAGGCCCUGCUUUUGUGGGGUGCUCGAGUGGCGAACGGGUGAGUAACACGUGAGUAACCUGCCCUUGACUUUGGGAUAACUUCAGGAAACUGGGGCUAAUACCGGAUAGGAGCUCCUGCUGCAUGGUGGGGGUUGGAAAGUUUCGGCGGUUGGGGAUGGACUCGCGGCUUAUCAGCUUGUUGGUGGGGUAGUGGCUCACCAAGGCUUUGACGGGUAGCCGGCCUGGGAGGGUGGCCGGCCACAUUAGGACUGAGAUACGGCCCAGACUCCUACGGGAGGCAGCGGUGGGGAAUAUUGCACAAUGGGCGGAAGCCUGAUGCAGCAACGCCGCGUGCGGGAUGACGGCCUUCGGGUUGUAAACCGCUUUCGCCUGUGACGAAGCGUGAGCGACGGUAAUGGGUAAAGAAGCACCGGCUAACUACGUG